AAGAGAAAGAAAAUUCGAUUCCCUGAGUAGCGGCGAGCGAAACGGGAAGAGCCCAAACCAACAAGCUUGCUUGUUGGGGUUGUAGGACUCCAAUAUGGUAGUCUGUUAGUAUAGUUGAAGGAUUUGGAAAAUUCCGCUAAAGAGGGUGAAAGCCCCGUAGACGAAAUGCUGACAACACCUAGGAGGAUCCUGAGUACGGCGGAACACGAGAAAUUCCGUCGGAAUCCGCGGGGACCAUCCCGCAAGGCUAAAUACUCCCUAGUGACCGAUAGUGAACCAGUACCGUGAGGGAAAGGUGAAAAGCACCCCGGAAGGGGAGUGAAAUAGAUCCUGAAACCGUGUGCCUACAACAAGUCAAAGCUCGUUAAUGAGUGAUGGCGUGCCUUUUGUAGAAUGAACCGGCGAGUUACGAUUGCAUGCGAGGUUAAGUCGAAGAGACGGAGCCGCAGCGAAAGCGAGUCUGAAUAGGGCGAAUGAGUAUGUAGUCGUAGACCCGAAACCAUGUGAUCUACCCAUGUCCAGGUUGAAGGUGCGGUAAAACGCACUGGAGGACCGAACCCACGUACGUUGAAAAGUGCGGGGAUGAGGUGUGGGUAGCGGAGAAAUUCCAAACGAACUUGGAGAUAGCUGGUUCUCUCCGAAAUAGCUUUAGGGCUAGCCUCGGAAUUGAGAAUGAUGGAGGUAGAGCACU
Molecule: ribosomal RNA, 691 nt
Filed under: Enterococcus faecalis
Lineage: Bacteria; Bacillati; Bacillota; Bacilli; Lactobacillales; Enterococcaceae
Description: partial 23S ribosomal RNA
Rfam family: Bacterial large subunit ribosomal RNA
Source: RNAcentral